Molecule: unclassified non-coding RNA, 349 nt
Filed under: soil metagenome
Description: partial contains 5.8S ribosomal RNA, internal transcribed spacer 2, and large subunit ribosomal RNA
Rfam family: 5.8S ribosomal RNA (bases 1-119)
Source: RNAcentral
GAUGAAGAACGUAGCGAAAUGCGAUAAGUAAUGCGAAUUGCAGAAUCCGUGAGUCAUCGAAUCUUUGAACGCACAUUGCGCCCUCUGGUAUUCCGGAGGGCAUGCCUGUUCGAGCGUCAUUAUCACCCCUCAAGCCCGGCUUGUUGUUGGAUGCAGCGCUUAUCCCGCUCCUCCCAAAGAUAAUGACGGCGUCUGCGACGACUCCUGUACACUGAGCUUUCGGGCACGUACACGGCUAGAAGUCCAGACCCGGUCGCCGUCCCCCCCGCGGGGGACACCCAUUACCACAAGGUUGACCUCGGAUCAGGUAGGAAUACCCGCUGAACUUAAGCAUAUCAUAAGCGGAGGA